This is a non-coding RNA of Phrynosoma platyrhinos (Desert horned lizard), 77 nucleotides long. Lineage: Eukaryota; Metazoa; Chordata; Lepidosauria; Squamata; Phrynosomatidae. The record is from the annotation of a GenBank genome assembly.
UGCAUCGUAGUGUAGUGGUUUGAACGCUGGGCCAGGACUCUGGAGAACAGGGUUCGAAUCCCGGCUCGACUAUGUAA